GAAUUUUUAAAUACAACACCUUGCUCUGGCAAGAAUACAGAGCAACAGGUGUUCACAUUCCUUGCUGGUGGGAAUGCAAAAUGGCACAGCCACUUGGGAAGACAGUUUGGCAGUUUCUUACAAAGCCAAACACAAGCUUACCAUACCAUCCAGCAAUUGCCCUCCUGGGCACACUCAAGGGAUUUGAAAACUUAUGUCAAUGUAAAAACCUGCAUGCAACAAUUUAUAGCAGCAUUAUUGAUAAUUGUCAAAAACAUGAAACAAUAGGCAAAUGGCUAAACUGUGGCAUGUCCUUACAAUGGAAUAUUAUUCAGCAAUAGAAAGAAAUGAAUUAUCAAGUUAUAAAAAAACAUGGUGAAUGUCUUUGACAUGGACAGAGCAAAGAGAUAUAUUUGUAUAUACUGACCUAUGUAUAUACGUAUAGCUAUAGGUAGCAUCUGUAUUUAUUUUAACCUAAAUAUGAGUUCACACUGAUGUCUACAACUCUAAUUCCUUUCCACAUGAAUCACUGUAGCUCCCUCCCUUUCCUUGCCUGUAAUCUGACACUCUGACAGUAAGAAACUGGGCUCCCACUACCCACCAUCCAUCCACUACAUUGUUGAGUUCCAGUUUUCUUGCAUCAUGGUUUCAGAAUUGUUACUCAUGGUCUUGUGAGAAAUGACUUUAUCAACUAGAGCACAGUGCUUAUGUACAGUUUCUUGUGCCUUUAGUCUUAUAGACUGCACUCAUCUCCAAAGUUACUUACAUCUGCACCUUCUCCCAGUCCCCUUCAGUGAGGUCACGUCACACAUUUGUAAGGCAGUUAAAUUCUUUUGGCACAUUCUGUAUUCCUUUCUGGGAUUCCACCACCUCUUACGUAGAUUUUUAACAUUUGCGUACAUUAAGAUUUACUCUUUGUGUGUAAAGUUUGAUGCAUUCUGACAAAUGCUUAGUAUCUCAUGUUCACCAUUAAGCUCUCAUACAGAAUAGUUUUACCAUCUGAAGAAUUACCCUUUUCUUCACCUAUUCAACCCCCUCACCUACAUCUCAAACCCCUGGCAACCCCUGAUCUAGUUAAGAUUUCUAUAGUUUUGCCUUUUUUUGAAUGUCAUAUAAUUGGAAUCAUUUAAGAGGCAACCUCUUCAGACUUGCUUCUUUUACUUAGCAAUAUGCAUUUAAGAUUCAUCCAUGUCUUUUUAUAACUUGAUAACUCAUUUCUUUGUAUUGCUGAAUAAUAUUACAUUGUAAGGAUGUGCCACAAUUUAGCCAUUCAACUAUAGGUUCAUGGGGUUUUUUUGACAGUUAUGAAUAAUCCUGCUAUAAAUAGUUGCAUACAGGUUUUUGCAUUGGCAUAACUUUUCAAAUCCCUUGAGUGUACCUAGGAGAGCAAUUGCUGAAUAGUAUGGUAAGCUUGUGUUUGGCUUCGUAAGAAACUGUCAAAUUGUCUUGCAAAGUGGCUGUACCGUUUUGCAUUCCCAGCAAUGAAUGCAAAUCCCAGAUUCACCAGCAAUGAAUGUGAACACCUGUUGCUCUGUAUUCUUGCUAGAGCAAGGUGUUGUAUUAAAAACUUCAUCACCAACCCCAAGAUUAUGUAGAUUUUAUUCUAUGUUUUCUUCAAGAAGUUUUAUAGUUUUCUAUUUUCCAAGUAGAUCUAUGAUAUAUUUUGAUUUAUUAUUAUACAAGGUCUAAGGUCUGUGUCUAAGUUCUUUUUUUUAACACGGGCAUAUUGCACAUGCAAUAUGCAUAUGGUGUGUAUUACUCUUGUGCUGUUGUUGAAAAGACUGCCCUUUAUCUACCCUGUUCAUGUUUCUUCAUGUUUUUUUCAUCUCUGUUCUGAAGUUUGAAUAAUUUUUAUGGAUCUUAAGUUUAGUUUCUAUUGACUGCUUUUUUCCUUGACUGUCAAUCACAUGUUUCUGUUUCUUUUUGUUCCACGUGAUUUUGUUCCAAGUGAUUUUUUUUAUUGAGUGGUUGGCAUUGUGUAUAACCUAUUGUAGAGAUCCUGGAUUUUGUUAUCUUCCUCUAAAAAGUGUUUCUUAUUUUAUCAGGCAGUUAAAUUACUAGCUGACCACUUUGAACUUAUAUAGGCUUGUCUUCACACUUUGGUCGUGUGGAUGGUAGAAAGACUAUGUGUUUCCUUGACCCCUUUGGUUUGGCAGGAGUUCUCUCUUAAUUCUGUUUUCCCUGCAGAUCUUUUCAAAAAGCCCCUUAGGUUUUGCUGGGGGAGGUUUAGUAUAAAUAAGUAUACUAGGCUGUUGUCCUUACUCCUAAGGCAUAGCCUUUUUUUUCUAACAUUAGAAUACCAUUUAUUAUGAUGCUGGCUUGCUAUACUAUUUAUGUUUUUUUAAAUUUUUUUAUUUCUGUAGGUUAUUGGGGAACAGGUGGUGUUUGGUGACAUGAGUCAGUUCUUUAGUGGCGAUUUGUGAGAUUUUGCAUCACCUGAGCUGUAUACACUGCACCCAAUUUAUAGUCUUUUAUCCCUCACCCCCUUCCCAUCCCUUCCCCUCUGAGUCCCCAAAGUCCAUUGUGUCAUUCUUAGGCAUAACCUUUUUAGGGUCUCAGCUGGAUGCCAGGAGUGUUAUCAAAGGUGUUAAGAUUUCUCUACUCUGGCAAGGCUGGAAUUUCAAUAUUCACCAGGAGCAUUCUCUCCCUAGCUCAGCUUAAACCUCUGGCGGUUCCAUUUUGCUUUCAAUCCCAUAGUGUCUGCUCUCUGAAAGUCUUGGUCUUCUUUCUCCGAGCAUGUACAGCUCAUCCCUCCACGAUGAACUCAACAGCAAACCCCCACAUUGACUCCUAGGGUUCCCUGUCAACACAGUUUCCACCUCUCUGAUUGCCUGAUUCUAUCCCAGCCACCCCUAAUGCCUGUCUUGUCCGCUCACCAUGGCCACUGAGCUGUGUUUGGACUCCAGGUCUCUGUGCUGUGGUCAGAAAAUUCUGCCCGGACAGGAGCUGGUCGUUGAUUGCAGGCGCCUCUGCGGGCUUUCCUUCUCUCAGGCAUCGCAGUCUUGCACUGCCUGCUGCCCACUGCUUCCAAGGAGUUGCCUCGUGCACUUAAUUUAAUUGCAUAGUUUUUUUGUUUUCUUUUGUUUUUGUUUUUGUUUUGUUUUGUUUUGCUUCUGAGACAGUCUCACUCUGUCCUCCUGGGCACCUGUAGGUACUUGGUCACCAUCUCCUUCAUGAAGAAUCAUUUUCCUUGAAAGAGCAGGUGGGGCUCCCUCCUGCACCCCUCGGCUACCUGUUGUGCGGCCCCCUUCCCUCAGCCUCCCCCUCCCUCCAUGUUCUUGUUUUUUGUCCCUCCAGAUGGAGCUAAACAACACUCUUUCCUGAAUGGACUGUGUCUAUCAGAAGGUUUACUCCUGCUCCCACCCGUGGGCCCAGGAUGGA
Molecule: long non-coding RNA, 3360 nt
Filed under: Homo sapiens (human)
Lineage: Eukaryota; Metazoa; Chordata; Mammalia; Primates; Hominidae
Description: non-protein coding lnc-PARVG-7:1
Source: RNAcentral